UUCUUAGUCCCUUAUUGGACAGUUCUCCCGGAAAAGCAUGCGGCACGCCCACACGGCAGCAAGGAGAGCAGGAGGAGCACGCGCAGACGUCCCUUUCACUUGUGUGCAGGAGAGAGAGAGAGAGCAUACGUUCGCGAAGUUCAGGUGUUUGUUUGUUCACUGCACUUUGGUGAUGUAUGCUAUAUAAACGAUGGAUAUAACGCUGGAUUUGGAGAUCGUUUGAAACUGAUAUAUGGAGCUGUCCCAGUGCUAAAAGAUGCCGGACAUGAACCGCAUGCGUUUGACAGUGGAGCCCAACCCUUGCCUACAGCCACGCUCUGGAAUGCGCUGGAGAAGAGCACAGCCCUCCGUUGCAUCACGAAAUGUGUACAGAAACGUCCCACAGCGAGCACCUAUGGCCAACAACGACGCAUGCUAACUAUCGGAGCGGAACGCCAGAGAGAGUCUGUGUUUCAAACUCCAUGGUCUUCAUUUUGGCAAGUCUUUUGGCAAAGAGGAAGUUUGGAUUGCAGAAGCCCAUCGCAUCCGGGCCCUCGCAGCACUGGGGCCAAUGUCAUCGUGGGCCUAAGCCAGAACAUUAAUUUGUCCCUGCUCACGGGACAACAAAAGAGCAGGAGGUCCUAACCUGAAAGCACAAAGAUUAAUGACUGUGGUCCACAGUGGUGUUACUGAGCGGCCACGGAGCAGACGCCAGACCAGUGGUGUGGGAUUCCCCCCUCAAAGGAUACCAGAUGCUGUGGUCCAAGCCACGGUUUCACUUAAAGAAAUGAUUCAAACCUCUGAUGUUCUACUACAGGACCUAUCAGUGUUGCUAUUCACGAUUAGCAUUGCAUGUUUUUUUCUUUAGAUACAGUAUAUACUAUAUUACAAGUGAGAAUCAGCACAUUUAAAAACAAGAGUCUCCUGACCAAUGAAAGUACAACUUCUGAGAAACGCCACUAUCCUGUAAAGAUGUCGUAAAGGCCUUUUAAAACCAAGAACGUCAUCUAAAAAGUUGUAAAAAUUGUUUUAAAUUGAAUAAUGUAUGAUACAUGAUGAAUAAUAUCUGGGAUCACACUUAAACAAACAUCUUAAAUCAAAAUGCAUUUACUUGAUGAAGAAAAUGACCUAAGAUAUUUAGUCUUGUUUUAAGAAAUAAAAUAUAAGGAUUAAGUAAGUUUAUGUUCAAAACAAGCAAAAAUAUCUGCCAAUGAGGUAACAAAAAGUGAAUUUGGUAAAUAAGAAAAAGGUAAAAGUAAAUUUAAGUUUAUCUUGAUUUAAGAACUUUUUGAUUGUGUUUAGAUUUUAAAGGCCAAAAUAAUUCACAACAGCGAUAUUAUCACGGUAUCUAAUACAAUGUUUUUAUAAAUAAUUCUGUCAAUCAAAUUUAUCUUUAUUUUUCAUUUAUUGUUUCUGUGGCUCAGCUAGCAACGCAAAAGGUAGUGGGUUCAAUUCCCAGAGAACACAUGCAUGGAUAAAAGCGUCUGCUAAAUAAAUGUGUAAAUGUAAAUUCUGCUUUAGCGAUUUCUCGGUAACACUUUACAAUAAGGUGCUAUUUAUUAACAACUAGUUAAUGCAUUAGCUAAAAUGAACUAACAAUAAACAAUAUUAAGACACCAGUUAUUAAUAUUAGUUCAUGUUAAUUUCCGCGUUUACUAAUACAUUAUUAAAAUCAAACGUUGCCACUGGUAACAUUAGUUAAUGCACCACGAACUAACAUGAAUAACUGUAUUGAUAUGAACUAAGAUUAACAAGGAUUAAUAAAUGCUGAAAAACUAAAUUGUUCAUUGUCAUCUAAUGUAAGCUAAUGCAUUUACUAAUGUUAACUAAUAGCACCUUAUUGUUAAGUGUUAACGAUUUCUCUUUUUUCGGCCAUUAAAUAACACUUACUAUAUGAGUGAAAGCAAAGAAAGAGUUUGUAACAUCUGUAAGUUGCAAAUAUUAUUAUAUUUACUACAAGUAGUAUUAGCAUGAUAUUAAUAAUCAUGUUUCUAAAUCAACCUAUAUUGUCAACAUCUGUAUAAUGUGACUGUGGACACUAAUAAAGU
Molecule: long non-coding RNA, 2027 nt
Organism: Triplophysa rosa
Lineage: Eukaryota; Metazoa; Chordata; Actinopteri; Cypriniformes; Nemacheilidae
Exons: 4
Source: RefSeq, a predicted model, not a curated record